AUUGAACGCUGGCGGCAGGCUUAACACAUGCAAGUCGAGCGGUAACAGAGAGAAGCUUGCUUCUCUGCCGACGAGCGGCGGACGGGUGAGUAAUGCCUAGGAAUCUGCCUAGUAGUGGGGGAUAACUUGCCGAAAGGUAAGCUAAUACCGCAUACGUCCUACGGGAGAAAGGAGGGGACCUUCGGGCCUUUCGCUAUUAGAUGAGCCUAGGUCGGGUUAGUUAGUUGGUGAGGUAAUGGCUCACCAAGGCCGCGAUCCGUAACUGGUAUGAGAGGAUGAUCAGUCACACUGGAACUGAGACACGGUCCAGACUCCUACGGGAGGCAGCAGUGGGGAAUAUUGGACAAUGGGGGGAACCCUGAUCCAGCCAUGCCGCGUGUGUGAAGAAGGUCUUAGGAUUGUAAAGCACUUUAAGUUGGGAGGAAGAGCAGUUAACUAAUAUUUGACUGUUUUGACGUUACCGAAAGAAUAAGCACCGGCUAACUUCGUG
RNAcentral lists this ribosomal RNA (490 nucleotides) under uncultured bacterium. Its description in RNAcentral is "partial 16S ribosomal RNA". It matches the Rfam family "Bacterial small subunit ribosomal RNA", at positions 30 to 507 of the family's 1533-position model. The record is from RNAcentral.